GACAGAGGGUGCAAACGUUGUUCGGAAUUACUGGGCGUAAAGCGUGUGUAGGCGGCCAUGUAAGUCAGGUGUGAAAGCCCCGGGCUUAACCUGGGAAUGGCAUUGGAAACUGGCUCGCUGGAGUGUGGCAGAGGGGGGUGGAAUUCCGCGUGUAGCAGUGAAAUGCGUAGAGAUGCGGAGGAACACCGAUGGCGAAGGCAGCCCCCUGGGCUAACACUGACGCUCAGGCACGAAAGCGUGGGGAGCAAACAGG
Molecule: ribosomal RNA, 253 nt
Filed under: uncultured bacterium
Lineage: Bacteria
Description: partial 16S ribosomal RNA
Rfam family: Bacterial small subunit ribosomal RNA
Source: RNAcentral